This 238-nucleotide non-coding RNA is filed under the name Streptomyces sp. Lineage: Bacteria; Bacillati; Actinomycetota; Actinomycetes; Kitasatosporales; Streptomycetaceae. The record is from RNAcentral.
UAGGCUGGCCCCGUAGCUGGUUCGCCCUGCCCGCCAGGCACGGCGUCGUAAGAGGGAACCCGGUGACGCCUUUCGACUGGCCAGUCCGGGACUGCCCCGCAGCGGUGAGCGGGAACGACCGCCGUCAUACGCACUGGGCCCGAGCCGGGCCCGGGAAGCGACGGCCAGUAGGUGUCCGCCCUCGACGAGGGCGAGCGUGCCCGCGAGUCCGAAGACCUGCCCGCUGCCCGUCCGCGGA